Y RNA from Callithrix jacchus (white-tufted-ear marmoset), 117 nucleotides. It matches the Rfam family "Y RNA". Rfam says of the family: Y RNAs are components of the Ro ribonucleoprotein particle (Ro RNP), in association with Ro60 and La proteins. Lineage: Eukaryota; Metazoa; Chordata; Mammalia; Primates; Cebidae. The record is from Ensembl.
GGCUGGGCUGAAGGUAGUGAGUUAAUUCAAUUAAUUGUUCACAGUCAGUUACAAAUCAGUCUAACUCUUCGUUCUACUCUUUCCUCCUUUCUCACUACUGCAUUUGCCUAGUCUAAA